Cicer arietinum (chickpea) is the source of this 543-nucleotide long non-coding RNA. RefSeq lists it as uncharacterized. The record is from RefSeq and is a predicted model, not a curated record. NCBI's taxonomy places the organism in Eukaryota, Viridiplantae, Streptophyta, Magnoliopsida, Fabales, Fabaceae.
UCUUGAGCCAUGUUCUGGAAUCAGACUUCAUUUGUGGCCUGAAAAUGGGAAAUCAGCAUCAAGUUUGCCUCUCACUGAUAGGGUUAUGGAAGUGACAUCAAAGAUAAUGCGUAUUCCCUCAGGUCCAGCACCACGGCAGAUUAUCUGUGGAGGAAGAAGUUUAGUUAAUUUUAUAUGCUUACUCGAAACUUUGAAUAUGCAAUACUGUUACAGCUUGAAUCUGGCAGUCAAACCGAGCAACCUCCUCCAUCUGCUGUAUUUUGGUUAGGACCUGAAAAUAUGCAUGGCUUCAGAUUUUUAACUAUCUCAGUUGCAACUCGUCCGGAGUUGUUGUUGGACGAAGCUCAUCCUCUAGCAAUUUCUUAGAAUUCUAAUCCACUUCUAGUAGGCCAAUUUUUUAGAAUUUUUUUGUGAUGAUUAGGGGUGGACUGAUGUUUUAUGCUAGGGGGCCAGGUACCCUUCAUCUUUUUUGAGUUUUUGUUUUUUAUAUACUACACAUAUAAUAUAUGGAUAGAUACAUAAUUAAUAGUAGAUUUCACGUGA